RNAcentral lists this ribosomal RNA (434 nucleotides) under uncultured bacterium. Its description in RNAcentral is "bacterial SSU rRNA". It matches the Rfam family "Bacterial small subunit ribosomal RNA", at positions 958 to 1392 of the family's 1533-position model. The record is from RNAcentral.
AACGCGAAGAACCUUACCUGGGUUUGACAUGCACCAGAUUGCCUCAGAGAUGGGGUUUCCCUUUGUGGUUGGUGUACAGGUGGUGCAUGGCUGUCGUCAGCUCGUGUCGUGAGAUGUUGGGUUAAGUCCCGUAACGAGCGCAACCCUUGUCCUGUGUUGCCAGCAAUGCGGUUGGGGACUCGCGGGAGACUGCCGGGGUCAACUCGGAGGAAGGCGGGGACGACGUCAAGUCAUCAUGCCCCUUAUGUCCAGGGCUUCACACAUGCUACAAUGGCCAGUACAGAGGGCUGCGAGACCGUGAGGUGGAGCGAAUCCCUUAAAGCUGGUCUCAGUUCGGAUCGGGGUCUGCAACUCGACCCCGUGAAGUCGGAGUCGCUAGUAAUCGCAGAUCAGCAACGCUGCGGUGAAUACGUUCCCGGGUCUUGUACACACCG